UACAGAGGGUGCGAGCGUUAAUCGGAAUUACUGGGCGUAAAGCGCGCGUAGGCGGCUUUGCAAGUCGGGUGUGAAAUCCCCAGGCUUAACCUGGGAACUGCAUUCGAGACUGCAUUGCUAGAGUAUGGGAGAGGGAAGUGGAACUUCCGGUGUAGCGGUGAAAUGCGUAGAUAUCGGAAGGAACAUCAGUGGCGAAAGCGACUUCCUGGACCAAUACUGACGCUCAUGUGCGAAAGCGUGGGGAGCAAACAGG
RNAcentral lists this ribosomal RNA (253 nucleotides) under uncultured bacterium. RNAcentral describes it as "partial 16S ribosomal RNA". It matches the Rfam family "Bacterial small subunit ribosomal RNA", at positions 524 to 776 of the family's 1533-position model. The record is from RNAcentral.